RNAcentral lists this ribosomal RNA (592 nucleotides) under uncultured archaeon. RNAcentral describes it as "bacterial SSU rRNA". It matches the Rfam family "Archaeal small subunit ribosomal RNA", at positions 321 to 916 of the family's 1478-position model. The record is from RNAcentral.
CCUUACGGGGCGCAGCAGUCGCGAAAACUUCGCAAUAAGCGAAAGCUUGACGGGGCUAUCCCGAGUGCCAUCUGCUGAAGAUGGCUUUUACCUAGUAUAGAUAGCUAGGGGAAUAAGGAGAGGGCAAGUCUGGUGUCAGCCGCCGCGGUAAUACCAGCUCUCCGAGUUGUGGGGAUAUUUAUUGGGCCUAAAGCAUCCGUAGCCGGCUGAACAAGUCCCCUGUUAAACCCAGCGACUAAUCGUUGGUCUGCGGGGGAUACUGUUCGGCUAGGGGGCGGGAGAGGCCGUCGGUAUUCCUGGGGUAGGGGUGAAAUCCUAUAAUCCCAGGAGGACCACCAGUGGCGAAGGCUGUCGGCUAGAACGCGCCCGACGGUGAGGGAUGAAAGCUGGGGGAGCGAACCGGAUUAGAUACCCGGGUAGUCCCAGCUGUAAACGAUGCAGGCUAGGUGUUAGGGCGGCUACGUGCCGCUCUAGUGCCGCAGGGAAGCUGUUAAGCCUGCCGCCUGGGGAGUACGGCCGCAAGGCUGAAACUUAAAGGAAUUGGCGGGGGAGCACCACAAGGGGUGAAGCUUGCGGUUUAAUUGGACUCAAC